CAUGAGAAAACAACAAAUCAUGAGAGAAAGAGAAGAUCCAGGAAGACACUGUACGACAGAUGAAUCAAUGGAUAUAAAAGAAAAUUUAUGCAAUACUACUCACGUCGUCUGCGGCACUAACGUCGACGCCCCGCAGUAAAAGGGCCUCGCACACUUCCACGUGACCACCUGCCGCGGCCAGCAACAGGGGCCCCCGGCCAUUCUGAAACACGACAAGAAUUCUGAACAUCCUCGUGCGACUCAUGCUGAAAACGUAUUUCUUCGACCGGAAGACUCGGAAAGGCGGCCGCAUCGAGACUGGUCGCAUCGGGAGAAAGCUGCGAAUUGUAAGCGGUUCUCCAGGAACCCAUAACAGUGCCGGCACAAACCAUGGGCUCGAUAAAAUCCAGAAUUAGAAUAGCAACAGAGGCUUUAAGCCUUAAUAAAAG
Molecule: long non-coding RNA, 428 nt
Organism: Camponotus floridanus (Florida carpenter ant)
Lineage: Eukaryota; Metazoa; Arthropoda; Insecta; Hymenoptera; Formicidae
Exons: 3
Source: RefSeq, a predicted model, not a curated record